AGCUGUUUACCCUGGGGGUUAAUUUGUCUUGAAAACAAAUUUUAAGUGUUCGACUCACUUAAUAGCUU
This 68-nucleotide transfer RNA is filed under the name Littoraria sinensis. Its description in RNAcentral is "tRNA-Ser". It matches the Rfam family "tRNA". Rfam says of the family: Transfer RNA (tRNA) molecules are approximately 80 nucleotides in length. The record is from RNAcentral. Lineage: Eukaryota; Metazoa; Mollusca; Gastropoda; Littorinimorpha; Littorinidae.